CAGCUAUUCCAUUUUCUCCUCUCCUUUUUUCCUUCUCCUUCUUCAUCAAGUUAUAAUAAAGUGUGAAUGUGACUCUCAUAUUCCCUUUCCUUAUUUCCGUAAUCUUGACCAAAUGUAAAUGGAGUAAUUUUUUAUGAAGAAAUAAAACAGGUUAUUGGUUUUUUCAUCAAAGGAGGAGUCAAUGUCUUUUUCUUACUACAUAUAUAACUGAAAUAUGCGUGGUCCACUUUAAAAACUGUUAAAAUGCCUUCAUUGCAUGAUAUCCAACCGUUAUUCAUUCACAUUAUCUCCCUCACUUGGCUUUCCUCCAAACGUCACCUAAAACCAAAUUAACACCCCCCCACCCCCCACCCCCACCCACGCAUAAAAAAAAUCUCCUUACUUUCUUCUUAUCUGUAAAAAAUUCAAAGAUUACAGCAAUUUUUUUGGUAGUACCACUACUAUAAAAGCAGCCUCUUGUUUUAUAUUUAUUGCAUUAACAACAUCACUCAAAUUCCUUUUUAGUCUUUGUCACCCUUGUAUGAUUUUGCUUUACUUUCUUGGGUGGUUUUAAUUAAUCAAGAAGAAAAUGAUGGGAUUUGAGAGAUUGAUGGUGAAUUUGAAGACGAAACUGAGGAGGUCCUUUAAAAUGAAGGAAUCAUACGACAAGAUUGAGAAGAGUGAAAGCAUGAGAGUGGAGAUUAGGAGCAAGAAGGCUCGUAAGCUUAUUGAACAGACUCUUAAAAUUGCUGAUUCCCCCAAAUCCCGAAGCUAUCCUUUCUAGUAAUCUGUUUAGUAUCUUGUAAUGACAAAAUUAAUCCCAACUUUCAUAAGAA
This is a long non-coding RNA of Solanum stenotomum, 815 nucleotides long. RefSeq lists it as uncharacterized. The transcript is spliced from 2 exons. NCBI's taxonomy places the organism in Eukaryota, Viridiplantae, Streptophyta, Magnoliopsida, Solanales, Solanaceae. The record is from RefSeq and is a predicted model, not a curated record.